Molecule: long non-coding RNA, 765 nt
Filed under: Hordeum vulgare
Lineage: Eukaryota; Viridiplantae; Streptophyta; Magnoliopsida; Poales; Poaceae
Description: long non-coding RNA (HVUL_LNC001189)
Source: RNAcentral
UCCUUUGCUGAGAUGAAUGAGGCAUGUACAAUUCAUAGCUUUAGGGUGAUUUCUCGUAUAUUAUGUAGGAUGGGAUGUCAGGAAAAGUAGUUCGGACAGUAAGUUCGGACGAGGAAACAUGUAUGCUUGAAGAAGGCGGGUGCUUGAAGAGAGAAAGUAUGGUCAGGUAUAAAAAGUUGAAAAAUUAGAGUAAAAAGUAGAGAUGCAUGUGUAUUAGUGUUCAUUUUUUAUUAUUUGAUGAGGUCUACUAAUGAUAGCUUGCAUUGAAGAAAAAAAUAUCAAUAUAGAUGCCUCAAGCUAUUUUUUAUCAUGAGCCAUCUGCAUUCAUAUGCUAUCAUCGUACGUACAUGCCCUGACAGUGCUUUCCAUUUACCAUUAGAUCAUGGUAUACUGUCUCUGGUGAAAAAGGGUAAAUAUGUCGAUUUGACCUUUGGAGUGCAACCUAAUAGGUGCUUAGUUGAUUUUGUCCUGUUGUUUCUUACUCUUCUCAGAUUUUGGCCGGUGCAUCCGGUGCGUCUGUAUUUGUAAGGUUUAGGCUUCUGAGACUGCAUGCCUAUGUUUCCUAAGACUGACUGACAGGAUCCAAGCUCCAAGGCCAUAUAGCAUGUGCGAUUCUCAGGAACUGUUGAUUCGGUGUCCAUCUAUCCAUCCUGCUCUGCUCUGCUAAUCUAAAAUCACUACUUAUUUGCAGCACCAGGGCUUUCAUUUUAUAUAAGCCGGUGUAUCAGCCUAAUUUGUAUCAGCCUAAUUAGGUAUCGCCUUUGU